Molecule: small RNA, 29 nt
Filed under: Bombyx mori (domestic silkworm)
Lineage: Eukaryota; Metazoa; Arthropoda; Insecta; Lepidoptera; Bombycidae
Description: ovarian small RNA-3135
Source: RNAcentral
UAUCGAUGGGGAAUCCCAGUCUUUACGGA